UGCAGUCGUGCGAGAAAGUUCUUCGGAUAUGAGUAGAGCGGCGGACGGGUGAGUAACGCGUAGGAAUCUACCUAGUAGAAGGGGAUAGCCCGGGGAAACUCGGAUUAAUACCGUAUACCUCCUUAGGGAGAAAGAGGGCCUCUCUUGAUGCUCUCGCUAUUAGAUGAGCCUGCGUAAGAUUAGCUUGUUGGUGAGGUAAUGGCUCACCAAGGCUACGAUCUUUAGCUGGUCUGAGAGGACGAUCAGCCACAUUGGGACUGAGACACGGCCCAGACUCCUACGGGAGGCAGCAGUGGGGAAUAUUGGACAAUGGGCGCAAGCCUGAUCCAGCCAUACCGCGUGUGUGAAGAAGGCUCUAGGGUUGUAAAGCACUUUAAGCAGGGAGAAAAAGUUAUAAGUUAAUACCUUAUAACCGUGAUAUUACCUGCAGAAUAAGCACCGGCUAAUUCCGUGCCAGCAGCCGCGGUAAUACGGAAGGUGCAAGCGUUAAUCGGAAUUACUGGGCGUAAAGCGCGCGUAGGUGGUUUGUUAAGUUGGAUGUGAAAGCCCUGGGCUCAACCUAGGAACUGCAUCCAAAACUAACUCACUAGAGUACGAUAGAGGGAGGUAGAAUUCAUAGUGUAGCGGUGGAAUGCGUAGAUAUUAUGAAGAAUACCAGUGGCGAAGGCGGCCUCCUGGAUCUGUACUGACACUGAGGUGCGAAAGCGUGGGUAGCGAACAGGAUUAGAUACCCUGGUAGUCCACGCCGU
Molecule: ribosomal RNA, 749 nt
Filed under: uncultured marine bacterium
Lineage: Bacteria
Description: bacterial SSU rRNA
Rfam family: Bacterial small subunit ribosomal RNA
Source: RNAcentral